GUGUCCUGAAUGGUUUACACUGCGCACAGCUUCCUCUCAGCCCGCUCUGAGCUGGAAGCAGCAUGUGGGACCUGGCCCUGAUCUUCCUCGCAGCAGCCUGCGUGUUCUCACUAGGGGUCACUCUGUGGGUCAUUUGCAGCCAUUUUUUCACUGUGCACAUCCCUGCAGCGGUUGGCCACCCUGUGAAACUGAGAGUCCUCCAUUGCAUCUUCCAGCUGCUGUUGACGUGGAAACCCACCAUGGCAUAUGCUCUCGUUUGUGCAAGGAGAGUGACUCUGUGGUUCUGGCAGUUGGUUACCGCAAGUUACCUAAGCAUAAGUUUCCAGUGCCAGUAAGAGACUGCUUGGUGGCCACCAUCCACUUCCUGAAGUCCCUGGAUGCAUAUGGAGUGGAUCCAGCCCGGGUUGUGGUCUGCGGUGACAGUUUCGGAGGGGCAAUAGCCGCAGUGGUUUGUCAACAACUUGUGGACAGGCCAGAUCUGCCCCGGAUCCGGGCUCAGAUCCUGAUCUACGCCGUUCUCCAAGUCCUGGAUUUACAAACUCCUUCGUUUCAACAGAGGAAAAACAUCCCACUGCUCACCUGGAGUUUCAUCUGCUACUGUUUUUUUCAAAACCUGGAUUUCAGCUCCUCCUGGCAAGAGGUCAUCAUGAAAGGUGCCCAUUUGCCUGCUGAAGUCUGGGAAAAGUACAGAAAGUGGUUGGGCCCAGAAAACAUCCCUGAGAGGUUUAAGAAGAGGGGUUACCGACUGAAGCCCCAUGAGCCCAUGAAUGAAGCUGCUUACUUGGAAGUAAGUGUUGUCCUGGAUGUGAUGUGCUCGCCCCUGAUUGCAGAAGAUGAUAUAGUGUCUCAGCUCCCGGAAACCUGCAUCGUGAGCUGUGAGUAUGAUGCUCUCCUGGACAAUUCACUGUUGUACAAGAAAAGGCUGGAAGACCUGGGAGUGCCCGUGACCUGGCACCAUAUGGAGGAUGGUUUCCAUGGAGUGCUCAGCACCAUUGACAUGAGCUUCUUGCACUUUCCCUGCUCCAUGAGAAUUCUGAGUGCAUUAGUUCAAUUUGUAAAGGGACUGUGACCAUCUUUCUUCUCUGCUGGUACUGCGGUGUGGAUUCCACUGGCAUCCAGCCUCCCACAGGGCUCUCUGUUGCUGAUUUAGGUGGUGCAUAGUGGGGCUAGGGAGGGGGUAGAGGUUGCUGUCACCUUUCUGGUCCAGGUUCUAGAACCACACAAUGCAUGCUCCUGAUGUCCAGAGGACGUGGUAGAAAAGACAGGUUUGGAGGUGGGAGUGUGGCUGUCUCUAUUCUCUGUUGGGAAAACCUGGGCUGACAAUAUUCAGUGGCCAUUUGUGGGAGUGAAUCAGCCGGUAAGAGCUGUUCUCAGCCUCCCUAAGGGGCAGUUCAGGCUCCCAGAUUGAUCCAGACUGUGUGUGACUUUCGUCCAUUUGACUGGACUUUGGAAUAGCACAAGGGCAUCACGUACCUCACAAGGCUUUCCCAAUGUGGCUCAGAGGCAGGAGCUCUGAUGCUUUAGGCUGCUGUGAGGUGGUGGUGGUGGUGGAGAAACUGGCUUCACUCACCUACUCUUCUGUGAACAGUAGUGACUUUUCCCGCUGUUUCUCAGCCUCUGGGAUCAGAGUCUUCACUGUCUGGGCUGGAAACUUUAAGAUAGAAUGGAUAGAGCUUCCACAGUGCUUGGCAUCUAGUGGUGGAUGAAGACAGCCUGCAGCUGCCCGACUUGGGGAGCUCUGGAGCUCCUGGAAUCAAAGCUUGUCUUCCAACCAGAAGCCCCAAGGCAAUGUUCUAAGAAUUUGAGAAGUUGGGAGGGAAGUGGGGUCCUGAGUUAGAGACCCAUGAAGGCUGAGUCUAACCAGAUAACCCUGUCCACAGUGCAAAGUCAAGACAGCCAAAGGAACAGAAGAUGUAUUUGUGAAAACUAUUUCUUUUUUAAGACAUGGAACCAACUCAAAUUGGCCUCUAUUAGAAAGACAAUAGAUUGGCUUAGGUAGGGAUGCAUGCUAGGCAUACAUCAGGCAAGGUUUGAUCCAGGAACUCACACAGUGCCAUCAGCUGUCCUGUCUUCUCUGCUCUGCUCUUCUCUCCUCUGUGUUAAUGCCAACUUCUCCUCUUCAUACGGUGGCACUGAGCAGCUUCAUGCCUACCUUCCUCCAGGGUCAAGUUCAUUAUCAUGGACUUGCCUCAUUCUCAGCAGUCCCAGAAAAAAGCCUAAUUGCAACUUGAUGGCUUUGUUGGCUUUCUGAGCAAUGUGGCCAGUUGCCACAGUGAAGGGAAUGGAAUAAUCUAACUCACCAUUCCCAAGUCCUAUGCCUUCCUGAGAGUGGGGGGUGGAGUCAAUUCACCUUGGUGCUUGGACUAAGCAUGAGGUGGUGAGUGACAACGUUCCUAAUUGAAGGGUAGGGUAAAUGGUUGUUGGGUGGACACCAACACUUAUUCUACUACAGAAGCUAAAUUGAACCCUCAGGCAGGGUACGUGAAAGUGGCAAGAGAUGUCAAGACCACUGGGCAAGUUGGCCAGUUGUUCCUUAGGAAUGAAAAUUCUUUUGAAAGGAAUGGCCAGGGUCCUCUGCUGGCCCCACUUGGUCUUCUGGAGGCUCUGAUCUUGGUUGGUUAGUGGUCUUUACAGGCCAAGGUCAAGGCCAUUGCACAAAAAACCCUGUGCAUGCCCUUAACGUGCUUUCAGUUGAAUAUUUGGGCUGAACUAUGAGGCGGAGAGGAAUCCCACUGGGUGGCUCCUUGCUGCAUUCGCAGUUGACCAGCAUGGGGUUUGUUGGAGAAAUAGGAACCAUCCCCUGAAAACACACACUAUGGUAGCCACUCAACUGUUGAAAGGCACUGGAGUCCAAUGGGUGAGGCCGCCUCUGAGAAAAGCCUCUGAGUUGUGGCUGGGAGAGGCUCCCUCCUUGGAGUGUUGCUUUUUUUGUUUCACCCCUGCCUCUGGAGAUGGGUAGAGGAACAUGAGCUGACCUUCUGGGAAGUUAGGUUGGUGAGGAGUUUCUGAGGCACUGCAGGGCCAUGCCCAGUAGAGAGGAAUGUAUAACAUUUUAAGAGGCUGAGAGCACCCCUUGUUGGGCGCAUGCCCGUGGCAGCUUCCUUCUGCAGAUCAUGGGAGAAAUCAAGCACUUUCACCUAAUGGCUAGAUGAUUGAUUUUGGGACGAAAUUCUCCACUCCUCUCCUUUACCACAUCACCACUAUCCUUCCUGCAAUACAUCCACGAGACUCACUGAGUGGAAAAGGGAUAGGAAUGAAUGUUCACCCAGGGCCAGCUACAUGCUAGGCACUGUACUGGACCAUUUAAAUUUGCCACCUCUUAUGUUCCUCACAUUAAUCUUACAGAGUAGGUACAGACAUACCUAUGGAUAUUGCAGAUUCAGUUCCAGACCACAGCAAUAAAGCAAGUCACAUGAAUUUUUUGCUUUCCUUAGUGCAUGUAAAAGUUACAUUUCCACUAUAUUAUAGUUUAUUAAGUGUGCAAUAGCAUUAUGUCUUUAAAAAGCAUGUACUUACCUUAAUUUAAAAAUACCUUGUUGCUGAAAAAUGCUAACAAUCAUCUGAGCCUUCAGUGAUUGCAGUAGCCUGGGCUACUAUUUUCUAUGUGGGGUUUGUACAUUCUGCCCAUGUCUGCGUGGGUUUUCUCUGAGUUCUCCAGCUUCCUCCCACAUUCCAAAGAUGUGUAUGUUACAUUCAUGGGAAUGUCUAAAUUGUCGUAAUCUUUUUGCUGGUUGAUGGUCUUGCCUUGAUGUUGAUGCUGCAGGUGGUGGUUGCUGAAGGUGGAGGAGGCUGUGGCAAUUUCUUAAAAUAAAAUAAGACAACAGUGG
RNAcentral lists this small RNA (3827 nucleotides) under Pan troglodytes (chimpanzee). RNAcentral's name for it is "processed transcript". Lineage: Eukaryota; Metazoa; Chordata; Mammalia; Primates; Hominidae. The record is from RNAcentral.